UCCGUAGGUGAACCUGCGGAAGGAUCAUUACUGAACUGUCGACACGAGUUGUUGCUGGUCCUCAAAUGGGGGCAUGUGCACACUCUGUUUACACACACACUCACACCUGUCCACCCUCUGUAGUUCUGUGGUUUGGGGUGACCCUGUCCUCCUGCUGUGGUUCUACGUCUUUACACACACUCUGCGAUAAAGUCUUAUGGAAUGUAUGUCGCGUUUAACGCAAUAAAAUACAACUUUCAGCAACGGAUCUCUUGGUUCUGGCAUCGAUGAAGAACGCAGCGAAAUGCGAUAAGUAGUGUGAAUUGCAGAAUUCAGUGAAUCAUCGAAUCUUUGAACGCACAUUGCGCCCCUUGGUAUUCCAUGGGGCAUGCCUGUUCGAGCGUCAUUUGUACCUUCAAGCUUUGCUUGGUGUUGGGCGUCUUGUCUUUUUCUUCGGAAGCAGACUCGCCUUAAAGUAAUUGGCAGCCAGUGUUUUUGGUAGUAAGCGCAGCACAUUUUGCGUCUUCGUCUUCAAACAGCGGCAUCCAUAAAGCCUCUUUCUCACUUUUGACCUCGGAUCAGGUAGGGAUACCCGCUGAACUUAAGCAUAUCAAUAAGCGGAGGA
Molecule: ribosomal RNA, 604 nt
Filed under: uncultured Phaeosphaeria
Lineage: Eukaryota; Fungi; Ascomycota; Dothideomycetes; Pleosporales; Phaeosphaeriaceae
Description: eukaryotic LSU rRNA
Rfam family: 5.8S ribosomal RNA (bases 232-385)
Source: RNAcentral